RNAcentral lists this ribosomal RNA (578 nucleotides) under Rhodotorula glutinis. Its description in RNAcentral is "eukaryotic LSU rRNA". It matches the Rfam family "Eukaryotic large subunit ribosomal RNA", at positions 45 to 634 of the family's 3401-position model. The record is from RNAcentral. Lineage: Eukaryota; Fungi; Basidiomycota; Microbotryomycetes; Sporidiobolales; Sporidiobolaceae.
AAUAAGCGGAGGAAAAGAAAACUAACAAGGAUUCCCCUAGUAGCGGCGAGCGAAGCGGGAAGAGCUCAAAUUUAUAAUCUGGCACCUUCGGUGUCCGAGUUGUAAUCUCUAGAAGUGUUUUCCGCGUUGGACCGCACACAAGUCUGUUGGAAUACAGCGGCAUAGUGGUGAAACCCCCGUAUAUGGUGCGGACGCCCAGCGCUUUGUGAUACACUUUCAAUGAGUCGAGUUGUUUGGGAAUGCAGCUCAAAUUGGGUGGUAAAUUCCAUCUAAAGCUAAAUAUUGGCGAGAGACCGAUAGCGAACAAGUACCGUGAGGGAAAGAUGAAAAGCACUUUGGAAAGAGAGUUAACAGUACGUGAAAUUGUUGGAAGGGAAACGCUUGAAGUCAGACUUGCUUGCCGGAGCUUGCUUCGGUUUGCAGGCCAGCAUCAGUUUUCCGGGGUGGAUAAUAACGGUUUGAAGGUAGCAGUCUCGGCUGUGUUAUAGCUUUCCGUUGGAUACAUCCUGGGGGACUGAGGAACGCAGCGUGCUUUUUGCGAAAGACUCGUCUUUUUCACGCUUAGGAUGCGGGUGGAA